ACGAUGGCAUCGACGACGGGUCAGAGCAGAAGGGAAACAUUACCAUAAUGUUUUUUUAUCUUUGAACGUCUUUUUUUGGGUGCAGUGAUUUUAAUCAAGUCUUUAUGUUUUUGGUGAUAUGCACAUACAUCAAGAAGAACAAUGUAUGCAAACAUCUAAGAACUUUGUCCUACAUGCACUAAAUAUUUUGAAUAUUGAUAAGUGUUAGAUCUUAUUGCAUAUUCAAAACAUUUUAUAUUUGUUAUUUCAUUAAUAAAUACAUCAUUUAAUGAAUUAUUCAACAUAUAUGAUCAUCAAAUAGUGUAAAAUAUUAUAUGCUUUAUCAAAAACGGUUUGAGAUAUGCAGUGUUUAGGGUCUUUUGUUAGAUGAUACAUUUCAUAAUACAUUAUUUCUUAAAUUAACACUAUUGUGAAUAAAACACAUUUUAAGCUUCUGUGUUAUCAUAGAGAUAAGUGUUUUUGUUCAUAAAACACUAGCUUGUAAGACAUUGUUUGUUUAGGAAUUUAGAUGUUGUUUAUAAAAUGUUGUCUAUUAGAUGAUUCAAUAAGAGAGACACUUCCUUUUAUUAGACGUUGUUCAUAAACCUUUGUCUUGACAGUCUAAGAUUGAUGAAUACCUUCUUCAAGAAAUAAUUGAAGACAUCGCCCAACCUCUACUCACAUCACUCCCCACUUCACCUUAGUCUUCUCCCCACACUUGCAAACCAACCCAACAAAUCACCACAACUACCUUAUCCAACCAAUCUCUUCAAACAAUCACAUCCAUCCCUAACCCUUAACCACUCUACCCCAAAUCCUGAAGUACCAUCUGACCCAGCUUCUCUUGCCCUAGUACAACACAUGCAUAAUCUUAUUAACACUCUGCCAAUACUAAUGCAGAACUUGCUGUUAUACGAGCUUAACAAAAUGAAAAGUUCUUGGAAGUGGUCAACACCCUCCAUAACAUCACCCAAAAGUUAUUCCUUUUGCCUACACUAACCACCCUACCAGCACCACCACCAUCACCUCCUUCUGGGCUAUGAUGUUCUUUCAAUACCCUUUUUUAUUUUAAUCAAAUAAUGGGGGAAAAUAAAUAUGCUAAACACUAAUUAGAUAUCCAAAGGGGGAACUAGGGAGAGUACACCCUUGUUACUUUUUCAAAACAUUGAACAUCUAUUUUGAAAACACUUUUUAUAAUCAUCUACUAUGAUACAAAUUUAUCAUAUCCUGAUUCUAAUCAUAUUAUUUCAUUUUCUAUGAUAUUGCUUAUGCAUUUGCUCUGGUAUACAUGAAACUCUGAUAUACUUAUGCACUGCAUAAAUGAUUUAUGACUUAUGGAAGUCAUACAUCAUCCACUUUGAUCAUGAAUAAUAUGCUAUGAUAUUAGUAUGACUAAAAUGAUCAAACCAUCACUAUUAAAUUUGCUCUAAGUCAUAUUUGAUCUUGCCAAUAAAUAUUGCCCACAUACUCGAUAACUAACUAACUAUAUAUAUAUAUAUAUAUAUAUAUAUAUAUAUAUAUAUAUAUAUAUAUAUAUAUAUAUAUAUAUAUAUUGUUCAGACUAUGAGAUAAGUAAAUGAUCUAAAAAGUUAUAAUCAUGCUAUGAACAACAAUUCUAAGUUUUUUAAAUCCUUAGACUUUAAUUGUCACCGUCUAAACCUUUUCAAAAACCUCAAAAAUAUAUUUCAUGUUUAUUUGUUAAACAUAAAAAUAGGAGACUUUGACUCCAAAAUAUCUAUCCACAUUCCAUGUUUAUCUUUUUCCAAACAUCAUUUCUACUUUCUUAAUAAAGUUAUGUUGAAAGCUUCUAAAUCUCUAAUCCCUAUGUCACCUUCUUUAGAUUUAAACAUAUUUUCCUAACUCACCGUUUCAAUUUUCCUACAAUUGUAUCCCCAACCUUUGUUGUGCCAUCGCCACAUUGUCAUCAUGCCACCACCACUCCACCGUCACACC
This 1932-nucleotide long non-coding RNA is filed under the name Vigna radiata. RNAcentral's name for it is "long non-coding RNA (VRAD_LNC009695)". The record is from RNAcentral. Lineage: Eukaryota; Viridiplantae; Streptophyta; Magnoliopsida; Fabales; Fabaceae.